UGAAGGCAGAUCUUCAGUAUCCCAUGGACCCAUUUUUCACUGAGGUCUUUCAAUUCCAUAAGCUUUCAGUUGUCCGGCUGCACCCCAACAACGGGAGAAUUUUGGUGGCCUUCCGGUUCGUUUGUUUCAAUAAACGUAUCGAGCCGAGUGUGGUCCUCUUCUCUCAACUGUACCAGUUGGUCACUCGAAAAAACAAAGAGUUCUGAUUUUUCAGUGGGAGGAAACGCCAGAC
Molecule: long non-coding RNA, 232 nt
Filed under: Manihot esculenta (cassava)
Lineage: Eukaryota; Viridiplantae; Streptophyta; Magnoliopsida; Malpighiales; Euphorbiaceae
Description: long non-coding RNA (MESC_LNC000105)
Source: RNAcentral